This 206-nucleotide ribosomal RNA is filed under the name Chlamydomonas reinhardtii. RNAcentral's name for it is "large subunit ribosomal RNA". The record is from RNAcentral. Lineage: Eukaryota; Viridiplantae; Chlorophyta; Chlorophyceae; Chlamydomonadales; Chlamydomonadaceae.
AAGGGAUUGCUGACUGAUAGUGCAAACAGUACUGUGAAGGAACUAAUGAAACUGGGCUAAAACACUAUAAACACUAAGUGCGCAUUCCACUAUACGUGAGCAUUAGCGCAUUACCAUUCUCCAGAGGAUUUAAAUGCACAAACCUAUUUAUGCCUUUUGGCAUAUGAUUACACUUCGUUAUAUAUCACCCGUUCAACAUUUUUACA